This 336-nucleotide unclassified non-coding RNA is filed under the name soil metagenome. RNAcentral's name for it is "partial contains 5.8S ribosomal RNA, internal transcribed spacer 2, and large subunit ribosomal RNA". The stretch from base 1 to 120 matches the Rfam family "5.8S ribosomal RNA", at positions 35 to 154 of the family's 154-position model. The record is from RNAcentral.
GAUGAAGAACGCAGCGAAAUGCGAUAAGUAAUGUGAAUUGCAGAAUUCAGUGAAUCAUCGAAUCUUUGAACGCACAUUGCGCCCGCCAGUAUUCUGGCGGGCAUGCCUGUUCGAGCGUCAUUUCAACCAUCAAGCCCCAGGCUUGUGUUGGGGACCAGCGGCUGCCGCAGGCCCUGAAAACCAGUGGCGGGCUCGCUGUCACACCGGGCGUAGUAGAUUUUAUCUCGCUCAGGGCGUGCUGCGGGUUCCGGCCGUUAAAAAGCCUUUUUUACCCAAGGUUGACCUCGGAUCAGGUAGGAAGACCCGCUGAACUUAAGCAUAUCAAUAAGCGGAGGA